Long non-coding RNA from Sapajus apella (tufted capuchin), 854 nucleotides. RefSeq lists it as uncharacterized. The transcript has 3 exons. NCBI's taxonomy places the organism in Eukaryota, Metazoa, Chordata, Mammalia, Primates, Cebidae. The record is from RefSeq and is a predicted model, not a curated record.
AAUUUCCAUUAAAAAAAAAUUAAUUACAAGAAGAUAGAGGUAUGUUGAAUCUUAAGAUUCUUAGGGCCAUAGCAGUGCACUUUCAAGGAUGGAGGACUUGAUAAUGCUGAUGUUUUAUACCUAAUUUCAUUCAAAAGUGAUGUCUUUCCUUUAUGGAGAUUUAUUGCUGAUUUUGUCUUAACAGAUAGCGUCAGUGUCAUUUAAGAAAAAGAAAAAAGUUUUCCUGAAGAAGUAGCAAGGACUGAAAAGAGGAGAGAAAAGAAUGAGAAAGGGCAAGGGAAGGGAAGUGAGUGUGUCUGAGAGAGAGAACACUGAAAAUUGCCGAUAGGAUUAACUGACGUAUCAGAUGUGGAGAAGCUUAUUAUCUUCCGGAGAGACCGAUGAGAAGGUGUUAGGAAAGAGAUUAGGAGUUAGACAGCACUCUACAUUCCAUGAAGACAUUUUGGGGGCAAGGCAACCUUUUUGCUGUUUGGAGCAUCUUUUAGGUGUGUGGAAUAAAAGGAAGAAAGCGUGUAACAAGUUAAUUAUAUCAUCAGGGAAUGUGUAAAUCAGAUGUUCACACUUUUAAAAAGAGCACUGACUGCUUUCAUGCCACUUAAGGGACUCUUCUGUAAUGGCCUGAACAUACUAAUGCAUUGGGCAUUUUUAACAGUUUCUUGUUUUAUUCUCUUCUUUGUGUCUCCCUGUUAGAAUCUCUAAAAAUGAGGUGACAGUAUUUCAGUGUGCCAUGUUUAAAUGUAUUUAUUAAUUGCCAUGGAUACUUUGAAAAUACAAUGCUAACAAAUAUUAACAAGAUUGACUGUAGAGACUAGUCCAAGUUUUCGUCAGUUUGUAACCUUUAGUUUCUUUUUCUU